CGGGGGGGGGGGGGGUCCCUCAGCUUGGAUUGUGAGAGGGUGCAGGCCACGUUGAGGGACCCCACCGGGGCACA
This 74-nucleotide microRNA precursor is filed under the name Myotis lucifugus (little brown bat). Its description in RNAcentral is "mir-9193 microRNA precursor family". It matches the Rfam family "mir-9193 microRNA precursor family". Lineage: Eukaryota; Metazoa; Chordata; Mammalia; Chiroptera; Vespertilionidae. The record is from Rfam by way of RNAcentral.